This 292-nucleotide ribosomal RNA is filed under the name uncultured bacterium. Its description in RNAcentral is "partial 16S ribosomal RNA". It matches the Rfam family "Bacterial small subunit ribosomal RNA", at positions 505 to 796 of the family's 1533-position model. The record is from RNAcentral.
GUGCCAGCAGCCGCGGUAACACGGGGGGAGCGAGCGUUGUUCGGAAUCACUGGGCGUAAAGGGCGUGUAGGCGGCUCGGUAAGUGAGAUGUGAAAUCCCCCGGCUUACCCGGGGAACGGCAUCUCAUACUGCUGGGCUUGAGUGCGGGAGAGGAUGGGGGAAUUCCUGGUGUAGCGGUGAAAUGCGUAGAUAUCAGGAGGAACACCGGUGGCGAAGGCGCCCAUCUGGCCCGUUACUGACGCUGAGGCGCGAAAGCUAGGGGAGCAAACGGGAUUAGAAACCCCCGUAGUCC